UACGAAGGGGACUAGCGUUGUUCGGAUUUACGUGGCGUAAAGCGCGCGUAGGCGGAUCGCUAAGUCAGGGGUGAAAUCCCAGGGCUCAACCCUGGAACUGCCUUUGAUACUGACGAUCUGGAGAUCGGGAGAGGUUGGUGGAAUUCCGAGUGUAGAGGUGAAAUUCGUAGAUAUUCGGAAGAACACCCGUGGCUAAGGCGGCUCUCUAGUACGGUACUGACGCUGAGACGCGAAAGCGUGGGGAGCGAACAGG
Molecule: ribosomal RNA, 253 nt
Filed under: uncultured bacterium
Lineage: Bacteria
Description: partial 16S ribosomal RNA
Rfam family: Bacterial small subunit ribosomal RNA
Source: RNAcentral